Molecule: ribosomal RNA, 265 nt
Filed under: uncultured bacterium
Lineage: Bacteria
Description: partial 16S ribosomal RNA
Rfam family: Bacterial small subunit ribosomal RNA
Source: RNAcentral
UUAGGCGGGACGGGGUAGGAGUAACGACGUGGCGAACCUGCCUUACACAGGGGGAUAACACUUAGAAAUAGGUGCUAAAACCGCAUAAGCGCACAGCUUCGCAUGAAGCGGUGUGAAAAACUCCGGUGGUGUAAGAUGGACCCGCGUCUGAUUAGCUUGUUGGCGGGGUAACGGCCCACCAAGGCGACGAUCAGUAGCCGGCCUGAGAGGGCGGACGGCCACAUUGGGACUGAGACACGGCCCAGACUCCUACGGAAGGCAGCAG